CUGGGGGGGUGCUUAACCAUGCAGUCGAACGGAAGGCCCUUCGGGGUACUCGAGUGGCGAACGGGUGAGUAACACGUGGGUGAUCUGCCCUGCACUUUGGGAUAAGCCUGGGAAACUGGGUCUAAUACCGAAUAUGAUCAUCGGCUUCAUGGUCGGUGGUGGAAAGCUUUUGCGGUGUGGGAUGGGCCCGCGGCCUAUCAGCUUGUUGGUGGGGUAAUGGCCUACCAAGGCGACGACGGGUAGCCGGCCUGAGAGGGUGACCGGCCACACUGGGACUGAGAUACGGCCCAGACUCCUACGGGAGGCAGCAGUGGGGAAUAUUGCACAAUGGGCGCAAGCCUGAUGCAGCGACGCCGCGUGAGGGAUGACGGCCUUCGGGUUGUAAACCUCUUUCAGCACAGACGAAGCGCAAGUGACGGUAUGUGCAGAAGAAGGACCGGCCAACUACGUGCCAGCAGCCGCGGUAAUACGUAGGGUCCGAGCGUUGUCCGGAAUUACUGGGCGUAAAGAGCUCGUAGGUGGUUUGUCGCGUUGUUCGUGAAAACUCACAGCUUAACUGUGGGCGUGCGGGCGAUACGGGCAGACUAGAGUACUGCAGGGGAGACUGGAAUUCCUGGUGUAGCGGUGGAAUGCGCAGAUAUCAGGAGGAACACCGGUGGCGAAGGCGGGUCUCUGGGCAGUAACUGACGCUGAGGAGCGAAAGCGUGGGGAGCGAACAGGAUUAGAUACCCUGGUAGUCCACGCCGUAAACGGUGGGUACUAGGUGUGGGUUUCCUUCCUUGGGAUCCGUGCCGUAGCUAACGCAUUAAGUACCCCGCCUGGGGAGUACGGCCGCAAGGCUAAAACUCAAAGGAAUUGACGGGGGCCCGCACAAGCGGCGGAGCAUGUGGAUUAAUUUCGAUGCAACGCGAAGAACCUUACCUGGGUUUGACAUGCACAGGACGCUGGUAGAGAUAUCAGUUCCCUUGUGGCCUGUGUGCAGGUGGUUGCAUGGCCUGUCGUCAGCUCGUGUCGUGAGAUGUUGGGUUAAGUCCGCAACGAGCGCAACCCUGUCCUAUGUGCCAGCGGUUAUGCCGGGGAUCGUAGAAACUGCUGGGUCAACUCGAGAAAGUUGGGAUGACGUUCAGGUCAUCAUGU
RNAcentral lists this ribosomal RNA (1137 nucleotides) under bacterium. Its description in RNAcentral is "bacterial SSU rRNA". It matches the Rfam family "Bacterial small subunit ribosomal RNA", at positions 36 to 1198 of the family's 1533-position model. The record is from RNAcentral.